This 476-nucleotide ribosomal RNA is filed under the name uncultured bacterium. RNAcentral's name for it is "bacterial SSU rRNA". It matches the Rfam family "Bacterial small subunit ribosomal RNA", at positions 28 to 507 of the family's 1533-position model. The record is from RNAcentral.
GAUGAACGCUAGCGGAAGGCUUAAUACAUGCAAGUCGAGCGGUAGGUGGCUUCGGCCAUUGAGAGCGGCGCACGGGUGAGUAACGCGUACAUGACCUGCCUGUCAGAAGGGGAUAGCCCUGGGAAACUGGGAUUAAUACCCUAUGGUAUUGAUAUUAUGAAUGAUAUCAAUUAAAGUUGAGGCGCUGACAGAUGGAUGUGCGUCUGAUUAGCUAGUUGGUAGGGUAACGGCCUACCAAGGCGACGAUCAGUAGGGGGCGUGAGAGCGUGGUCCCCCACACGGGUACUGAGACACGGACCCGACUCCUACGGGAGGCAGCAGUAAGGAAUAUUGGUCAAUGCCCGCAAGGGUGAACCAGCCAUUCCGCGUGGAGGAUGAAGGCCCUAUGGGUUGUAAACUUCUUUUAGAUGGGAAGAAAAUGCUAGAUGUAUCUGGUACUGACGGUACCAUCAGAAUAAGCACCGGCUAACUCCGUG